UGGGUUGUGUUGGGCUGCGGCUUCUAAGUCGGAAAUACUUAAUCCACAGCAAAAGAAAAGUGCUCUCUUGGCUGAGCUCUUUGGAGCCAUCAGAACCCAUCCCUGCCCUGAGGGACUUCACCUGAGGACAGACGAAGAACCAGAAGGAGCAAAAUUAUAUUGAGCAACACCACAGCAGCAGGUGAUGAGAAGUGCCUUGCAGUGACUAACGCAGCUUUGUGCACUGGAUUUUACAAGCUCUCCUGUAUCUCGGCAUGUUUGUUUGAAGAAGCUAAUUAAAUUACUGCAACAAGGUACAGAACAGUUUGUUGUUUGUUUGGACAGUUUGGAACUUCCUGCUCACAACAGAGACUGGAUAUGGCACAAUUCAGGAGCACUGCUCAGACCACCAAGUUUUCCUUGAUCAAACAGAUCAGUUUCCACGUCUUGUGUUCUAUGCAGCAUUCAGGCUUCAGCAUCAUAAGCUGUCAGUUCCACUAAUUCAUGGUAUCUUCCUCAAGGCUUAGUGCCACCCCUCCACAUUCUUCAGCUCCAUUAUUUGUACUGGCAGGGCAUUACUGCUUACAACAAAAUAUGUGCACAAUACGGCUGUAGCAAGUAAAGUGAAAUUGUCUACUUUAGGUUUCCAAAGCUUAACGAACAUUAUAGGUACCUUAUACUUUCAAAUCCCAACAUUCAUCUUGCUGUUAUGGUCCCCUGCUAUUCUGGCUUGGGACCAAAUGUACCCUAAAAACUUCUAUUAUCGGUC
Molecule: long non-coding RNA, 748 nt
Filed under: Gallus gallus (chicken)
Lineage: Eukaryota; Metazoa; Chordata; Aves; Galliformes; Phasianidae
Description: long non-coding RNA NONGGAT003801
Source: RNAcentral